AAUAGAUACCCGGGUAGUCCACGCCGUAAACGAUGGAUACUAGCUGUUUGAGCGCAAGUUUGAGUGGCUAAGCGAAAGUGAUAAGUAUCCCACCUGGGGAGUACGGGCGCAAGCCUGAAACUCAAAGGAAUUGACGGGGGGCCCGCACAAGCGGUGGAGCAUGUGGUUUAAUUCAAUGAUACGCGAGGAACCUUACCAGGGCUUAAAUGUAGAUUGACGUAUUUGGAAACAGAUAUUUCUUCGGACAAUUUACAAGGUGCUGCAUGGUUGUCGUCAGCUCGUGCCGUGAGGUGUCAGGUUAAGUCCUAUAACGAGCGCAACCCCUGUUGUUAGUUGCCAGCGAGUAAUUGUCGGGAACUCUAGCAAGACUGCCAGUGUAAACUGUGAGGAAGGUGGGGAUGACGUCAAAUCAUCACGGCCCUUACGUCCUGGGCCACACACGUGCUACAAUGGCCGGUACAGAGAGCAGCCACUUAGCGAUAAGGAGCGAAUCUAUAAAGCCGGUCACAGUUCGGAUCGGAGUCUGCAACG
Molecule: ribosomal RNA, 531 nt
Filed under: uncultured bacterium
Lineage: Bacteria
Description: bacterial SSU rRNA
Rfam family: Bacterial small subunit ribosomal RNA
Source: RNAcentral